Molecule: long non-coding RNA, 789 nt
Filed under: Erythranthe guttata (spotted monkey flower)
Lineage: Eukaryota; Viridiplantae; Streptophyta; Magnoliopsida; Lamiales; Phrymaceae
Description: long non-coding RNA (EGUT_LNC001333)
Source: RNAcentral
GAAGAGUCUUAGAGCCGCCUCGAGGAAGCGACGGAGUCUCAGAGCCGCCUCGAAGAGUGGUAGAGUCUUAGAGCCGCCUCGAACCAAAAGAACUACGAGAGAGGCCAACGAAGUGGAUCAAGGCGAGCCGCCUCGAACCAAAAGAACUACGAGAGAGGCCAACGAAGAGGAUCAAGGCGAUCCCAACCACUCGCUUCAAGGUAGCGGUGGAGUCCCAGAGCUGCCUCAAAGGAAGAGACGCCUCGAAGCAAAAUAACUACGGGAGCGGCCAACGAAGAGGAUCAAGGCGAUCCCAACUACUCGCUUCAAAGUAGCGGUGGAGUCUCAGAGCUGCCUCGAAGCAAUAGAACUACGGGAGCGUCCAACGAAGGUGGUCAAGGAAAUCUCAAACAACCGCUUCAAGUAGCGCAGGAGUCAUAGAACCACCUCGAAGGAAGAGAACAAUUGGAGCGGCCAACCUUGCAGGAUCUUCAGUGUCGGUCAUCUAGAUGAUUGCAGAGGAAUUACAAGCCUUAAUGGAGAAGACGGUGGCCAAAGUAGCAGCUUGGGCAGCAACGGACGUUGUAGCUCAGUAUAUCAAUGCUCAAAGCACAACUGACUUUGAAGAAACUAUUCAUAUGGGAAGCGAUCCUACGGAUUUCGUGCAUGUCCGUACCACUCCGCCAAUCUUGGAGCUCCAUGUCUCAGAGUAAAGAGUAUCGCUCAACGGCCAAAGUUAUUCCUCCGAACAGGCUCCUCGAAGAAACGCUCACCACCACCCGCCUCAGCGUAGCACAUCCUCAGACCGCG